Molecule: ribosomal RNA, 479 nt
Filed under: uncultured bacterium
Lineage: Bacteria
Description: partial 16S ribosomal RNA
Rfam family: Bacterial small subunit ribosomal RNA
Source: RNAcentral
GACGAACGCUGGCGGCGUGCUUAACACAUGCAAGUCGAACGGUAAGGCCCUUCGGGGUACACGAGUGGCGAACGGGUGAGUAACACGUGGGUGAUCUGCCCUGCACUUCGGGAUAAGCCUGGGAAACUGGGUCUAAUACCGGAUAGGACCCUGGGAUGCAUGUCCUGGGGUGGAAAGCUUUUGCGGUGUGGGAUGGGGCCCGCGGCCUAUAAGCUUGUUGGUGGGGUGAUGGCAUACCAAGGCGACGACGGGUAGCCUGCCUGAGAGGGUGACCGGCCACGCUGGGACUGGGAUACGGCCCAGACUCCUACGGGAGGCAGCAGUGGGGAAUAUUGCACAAUGGGCGCAAGCCUGAUGCAGCGACGCCGCGUGAGGGAUGACGGCCUUCGGGUUGUAAACCUCUUUCAGCACCGACGAAGCGCAAGUGACGGUAGGUGCAGAAGAAGGACCGGCCAACUACGUGCCAGCCGCCGCAGUAA